This is a long non-coding RNA of Musca domestica (house fly), 556 nucleotides long. RefSeq lists it as uncharacterized. The record is from RefSeq and is a predicted model, not a curated record. The transcript is spliced from 2 exons. NCBI's taxonomy places the organism in Eukaryota, Metazoa, Arthropoda, Insecta, Diptera, Muscidae.
UUUGUUUAUAUUAAGGAAUUUCAAAAGUGUUGCUUAGAAGUUUUUACGUUGAUUUUCAUGGACACUGCAAAGAUAAAAGAGGGGGAAAAUAAUGCAAUUAGUAUUUGAAUUUUAUAUUCGAGACAAAUUAAAGGAAACAACUAGAAAUAUAUAAAAAUAUAGGAAACUAAAUAAUAGUUUGUUAUACACCACUUCAACUGAGACGAGAUAAAAUAAAAUAUGUAAUUAAAAGCUAAAGAGUGUCAGUUGGUCUUGCCGCCAGAUGUAUACCCUCAGCAAAUGUUCGAUUAUUUAAAUAUAUUUUGACUUCUGCUAUGAUUAUUCAAAUUCCUCUAUGGAGUAGGUUCCGCAGGAAUGGGUCAGUAUUGUCCAUUUCGUAUCGAAACUUAUAAAUAUGAUAUAAAUAUUGCGACGUGUCAGGUUUGGACUGCAUUGGUUACUUCCUUCACUUUAUAUGAAAUAUGCGAUUAGUUUUAGAAAAUAUUAAAAUGUGGGUGAGGUAUCAGAUAUAGAUGGACAGAAGCAUUCCACUUCAUCACAUUCUGAUCUAAAUGUU